Molecule: unclassified non-coding RNA, 335 nt
Filed under: soil metagenome
Description: partial contains 5.8S ribosomal RNA, internal transcribed spacer 2, and large subunit ribosomal RNA
Rfam family: 5.8S ribosomal RNA (bases 1-120)
Source: RNAcentral
GAUGAAGAACGUAGCGAAAUGCGAUAAGUAAUGUGAAUUGCAGAAUUCAGUGAAUCAUCGAAUCUUUGAACGCACAUUGCGCCCGCCAGUAUUCUGGCGGGCAUGCCUGUUCGAGCGUCAUUUCAACCAUCAAGCCCCCGGCUUGUGUUGGGGACCUGCGGCUGCCGCAGGCCCUGAAAACCAGUGGCGGGCUCGCUAGUCACUCCGAGCGUAGUAAUACAUCUCGCUCAGGGCGUGCUGCGGGUUCCGGCCGUUAAAAAGCCUUAUUUACCCAAGGUUGACCUCGGAUCAGGUAGGAAGACCCGCUGAACUUAAGCGUAUCAAUAAGCGGAGGA